GACGAACGCUGGCGGCGCGCCUAACACAUGCAAGUCGAACGGUGAAGAGGAGCUUGCUCCUCGGAACAGUGGCGGACGGGUGAGUAACACGUGAGCAACCUGGCUCUAAGAGGGGGACAACAGUUGGAAACGACUGCUAAUACCGCAUAACGUAUCGGGAUGGCAUCUUCCUGAUACCAAAGGAUUUUAUCGCUUAGAGAUGGGCUCGCGUCUGAUUAGAUAGUUGGCGGGGUAACGGCCCACCAAGUCGACGAUCAGUAGCCGGACUGAGAGGUUGAACGGCCACAUUGGGACUGAGACACGGCCCAGACUCCUACGGAGGCAGCAGUGGGGGAUAUUGGGCAAUGGGCGCAAGCCUGACCCAGCAACGCCGCGUGAAGGAAG
Molecule: ribosomal RNA, 384 nt
Filed under: uncultured bacterium
Lineage: Bacteria
Description: bacterial SSU rRNA
Rfam family: Bacterial small subunit ribosomal RNA
Source: RNAcentral